GCACUCUGAAAGCUUCGGGUUCCUUUUGCUGGAGCCGGGAGAGCAAGGCUGUCCCGGCUUCAGCAAAAGGAACCUGAAGCCUGCGGAGCGC
Molecule: non-coding RNA, 91 nt
Organism: Podarcis lilfordi (Lilford's wall lizard)
Lineage: Eukaryota; Metazoa; Chordata; Lepidosauria; Squamata; Lacertidae
Source: the annotation of a GenBank genome assembly